Amphiprion ocellaris (clown anemonefish) is the source of this 408-nucleotide long non-coding RNA. The record is from Ensembl. Lineage: Eukaryota; Metazoa; Chordata; Actinopteri; Pomacentridae.
UUUUUAUGCCUGAAUUUAGCUCAUCAAAAUUCUAAAAACCAGUUAAAAAUUCAAUGUCUUCAAAAUUCACCAUCAAAAAAUUCAAUGUUCAAAAUUCGCCAUCAAAAAAUUCAAUGUUCACAAUUCGCUGUCAAAAAAUUCGCUGUUCACAUCUGGGGGACUCCUCCUCCGGUCAUGUGACGCAGACGGUUCACCUCACAAGACCGGGGUCAAUCACAGCUACCAGCAUGAACGACGGCGCUUCAACCAAAGAACUACAGACUCUUCACAACCUGCUCAAACUCUUGGUACAGGACCUCACCACACGGGUCAAGAAGGUUUCUGUCUCAUUUCUACUCUGAAGCUCACCUUCUCCUGCUCAAACUGCUGACAAAUGUUUCUGCUGCUCUAAAGUCUGGUCUCCAGAAC